UCCCUGGUAGUCCAGGGGCUAAGACUUCUUGCUCCUAAAGCUAGGGACCCAGGUUCGAUCCCUGGUCAGGGAA
RNAcentral lists this transfer RNA (73 nucleotides) under Bos taurus (domestic cattle). It matches the Rfam family "tRNA". Rfam says of the family: Transfer RNA (tRNA) molecules are approximately 80 nucleotides in length. Their secondary structure includes four short double-helical elements and three loops (D, anti-codon, and T loops). Further hydrogen bonds mediate the characteristic L-shaped molecular structure. tRNAs have two regions of fundamental functional importance: the anti-codon, which is responsible for specific mRNA codon recognition, and the 3' end, to which the tRNAs corresponding amino acid is attached (by aminoacyl-tRNA synthetases). tRNAs cope with the degeneracy of the genetic code in two manners: having more than one tRNA (with a specific anti-codon) for a particular amino acid; and 'wobble' base-pairing, i.e. permitting non-standard base-pairing at the 3rd anti-codon position. The record is from Rfam by way of RNAcentral. Lineage: Eukaryota; Metazoa; Chordata; Mammalia; Artiodactyla; Bovidae. RNAcentral also lists the same sequence under 1 other name.